RNAcentral lists this ribosomal RNA (61 nucleotides) under uncultured organism. RNAcentral's name for it is "partial 16S ribosomal RNA". The record is from RNAcentral.
UGGGCUCGAAAUGUAGGGGAAGUCAGCAGAGAUGUUGAUGUCUGGCAACAGACUCCUAUAU